AAAGAUAUCGGCAAAACAAAGCCGACCAAGCUUCAUUUCGACCUAAGAGGCCGAGAAGUCGUCGUAACAUCCGUUGGAGGGCAUUUCUAGAGCCUCCAUACCCUCAAGAGGUGGGGGGUGUCAUCCCGAAGCAUCCGGGUUUCUUUUUAUGUCUAAGUUAUAUAUAUGCUUGAUCAUAUUGCAUUAUAGGAUUAGUAGAUAGUUGCAAAAUUCUAAUUCCUUGCAUGCUUCUUAGUAGUGUAACUAUGAGUUGGACACAUGGACUAGGGUAGCAUGAGGAUUGGGUCUUGUGACAUGAAAAU
Molecule: long non-coding RNA, 302 nt
Filed under: Ananas comosus (pineapple)
Lineage: Eukaryota; Viridiplantae; Streptophyta; Magnoliopsida; Poales; Bromeliaceae
Description: long non-coding RNA (ACOM_LNC035234)
Source: RNAcentral